RNAcentral lists this long non-coding RNA (2688 nucleotides) under Medicago truncatula (barrel medic). RNAcentral describes it as "long non-coding RNA (MTRU_LNC005861)". Lineage: Eukaryota; Viridiplantae; Streptophyta; Magnoliopsida; Fabales; Fabaceae. The record is from RNAcentral.
AAAAGAAAAGUUAUGCUUAGUACACAAUAUUUUUUGGCAACUCUUUUGUCUUUACUUCAACAAAUAUUCUGGGAAUCAAACAGAUAAAUGCUUAUCCAAUGCAAGAAAUAAUAUAAAGAAAUAAAGGUCCAAGUGGUAGUUGGUAUUUAUACUAAAAAAGUAGUUCAAGCAUGGUUAAUUUUCCUUGCUUAGUGAAAUACGUGGUAGGGUAAAUAUUAGAACAUAUAUGGCCAUUUUUCUCCGCUCAUUUACUCUCAUUGGUUUCAAGUCACAUCCAAGAAAAAGUAUAUGGCUAAAAUAGUGUCAUACUCAUAUAUAGUAGUUGUUUUUCUAUCCUUGUCCUUUUCGUUAAUCAACUAUCUUCCACACCAAUUUAAUUUUUGAUGCAUUAAUUCUUGAAACCACUAAAAGAAAACAAUGAUAGUUAUCUUCUCAAAAAUCAUGUAACACAUCUUUACUCCCACAAAAAUGGAUAAUUUCUAUACACAACCAGCAACUAUAGUACUAGCUAUACUUUUAGUGCUUCUAUACAACAUAUGGAGGGUAAAAAAACCUAGUAACAAAUUCAAGGGUAUGAAACCACCAGAACCAUCAUAUGCCUUACCUUUAAUAGGUCACCUCCAUCUACUAGGAAACCAAAUCCCUCUUGCAAGAAUCUUUGCUUCAUUUUCAGACAAAUAUGGUCCUAUCUUCCAAAUCCAUUUUGGAGCAUACCCUGCACUUAUUAUUUCCAACAAAGAAGCAAUCAAAGAAUGUUUCACUACAAAUGACAAAAUCUUAGCCUCAAGACCAAAGUCAAGUCAUGGAAUUCACCUAGGUUAUAACUAUGCUGGCUUUGGUUUUGCACCUUAUGGCCCAUAUUGGACCAAGCUAAGAAAAUUAACCAUGCUUGAACUACUUUCGUCUCGUCGCCUUGAAUCGUUGAGACAUGUUUAUGAAUCGGAGAUCGAUACUUUGAUAAAGGAUUUAUCAUUGUAUGUUAAGGUUGGAAAGGUUAAGGUUGUGAUAAGUGAAUGGUUGGAAAGGUUAACAUUUAAUAUAAUGACAAAAAUGAUUUGUGGGAAAAGGUAUUUUGAGUAUUUGAAAGAUGUGGAUGAUGUUGAAGCACAUGGGAAUAUUGUGAAACUUAUAAAAGAAUUUAUGCAUAUUUCUGGUGAGUUUGUUCCUAAGGAUUUGAUUCCAAUUCUUGGUUGGUUUGGUUUUGAAGGAAAAGUGCUAAAAUCUAUGAAAAGAAUUGCUAGAGAUUUGGAUGCAGUUGUUGGAAGCUGGGUUGAAGAGCAUGAUGUUGAGAUUGAGAGUAAGUCAAAUGAGAAAUAUGAUUUCAUUGAUGUUAUGCUUUCUGUGAUUGAAGAUGAUCCUACUUCUGGUCAUAACCGUGAUACUAUCAUCAAGGCAAAUGUUAUGGUAUGCAUUUUCUCUUUGUUCUGAAAUUUGCAAUGUUUUUAUUUAGAAACUAUGAAGCACGGACACAAACACGGAUACGAGACACAAUAUGGACACCGACACAUCGACACGGAUAAUAAUUUGAGAAAAUAAUGUAGUUCAGUGUAAUCAUAGGUGUCGUGUUGAUGUCGGACACGCGUCGAUGUCCGACAUCAAGACACGCCUAAUUCGAGGAGUGUCCGUGCUUCAUACUUCAAGUAAAAUGAAAAUCAGAACAAUUAUUUACAUGCAAAUAACUAAAUUUAACACACAACUUGGUGUAAAAAACAAACUAUUGUAACAUCAUAGCUUAAAAUGUUAUCAAAUAAUUCAGAAAUGGGGAUGGGUUGUUUUUAUUAUUUAAUUUGAACAAAUUAUUAUAAUUAUUAGUCAACAAGUCAACUUUUCAUAUUCAGAAUCUUAUGUUAGCUGGGUCAGACACAACAUCAACGACAAUGACAUGGAUCCUAGCCAUAUUGAUGAAUAAUAUGAAUGCUUUAAAACAUGCACAAGAGGAGAUUGACCAUCACAUAGGUAGGGACAGAAGGGUAGAAUCAUCAGACAUAAAAAACCUAGUUUAUUUGCAAGCAAUUGUGAAAGAAACUUUAAGGUUAUACCCUCCAGGUCCACUAUUAGUACCCCAUGAAGUAACAGAAGAUUGUUACAUUCAAGACUAUUAUGUACCAAAAGGGACACGUGUGUUUGCAAAUGUGUGGAAAUUACAUAGAGAUCCAAGUAUUUGGUUAGAGCCUGAAAAGUUUUUACCUGAAAGGUUUAUUAAUGAGAAUGGAGAAAUUGAUCAUGAAAGUCACCAUUUUGAGUACCUUCCUUUUGGAUUAGGGAGAAGAGCUUGUCCUGGAUCGUUGUUUGCUACACAAGUUAUUCUCAUUACACUUGCUCGUUUACUUCAUGGGUUUGAUUUGGAAGUGCCAAUGGAUGAAGUUGUUGAUAUGAGAGAAGGGUUGGGUAUUACCUUGCCUAAGUUAACUCCAUUGCAAGUUGUUUUGACCCCGCGAUUAUCAUGUGAACUCUAUCGAUUAUAAACAUUUUCCCUUUUGUGUGUGAUCGGAUAUGCUGCUACACAUGUUCAUUGAACAAUGAUGUAUUUGAUCUAUAUUACAAUCUUUUACGUUAGUUAUUCAAUGAAUCUAAAAUACAGAAUCAUGAUUGUUAUCUUUACUCUUUAGUAUAUAUUUGAGACCACAUUGAUUAUACAGAAUCAUGAUUGUUAUCUUUACUCUUUGGUAUGCACGAACGGCCAAACCA